This 1224-nucleotide ribosomal RNA is filed under the name Mucilaginibacter sp. SG538B. RNAcentral describes it as "partial 23S ribosomal RNA". It matches the Rfam family "Bacterial large subunit ribosomal RNA", at positions 1 to 1245 of the family's 2925-position model. Lineage: Bacteria; Pseudomonadati; Bacteroidota; Sphingobacteriia; Sphingobacteriales; Sphingobacteriaceae. The record is from RNAcentral.
AAGAAAGUAAGAAAGGGUACACGGGGGAUGCCUUGGCUCUCAGAGGCGAAGAAGGACGUGAUAAGCUGCGAUAAGCUGCGGGGAUUAGCAAAUAUGAAUUGAUCCGCAGAUUUCCGAAUGGGGAAACCUAGUUAUUUGAAGAAUAACUGCAUAAAUGCGCUAACCUGCCGAACUGAAACAUCUAAGUAAGCAGAGGAAGAGAAAACAAUAGUGAUUUCCAGAGUAGUGGCGAGCGAAAUGGAAGAAGCCCAAACCUGUUAUGUUACGGCAUAGCAGGGGUUGUAGGACCACAACAUGAAUAUUAAAUAGAACCGGAAGGGGGUGGGAAACCCUGCCAUAGAGCAUGAGAGCUGCGUACGGGUAAUAGAUAAUAGGAUAGUGGUAUCCUGAGUACCGCGAGGUCGGAGACGCCUUGUGGGAAUUUGCCGGCACCAUCCGGUAAGGCUAAAUACUCCUGAGAGACCGAUAGUGAACCAGUACCGUGAGGGAAAGGUGAAAAGAACCCCGAACAGGGGAGUGAAAUAGAACCUGAAACCGUGUACUUACAAGCGGUCGGAGCCUGGUAACGGGUGACGGCGUGCCUUUUGCAUAAUGAGCCUACGAGUUACUCUUCCCUGGCAAGGUUAAGUGUUUAAGACACGGAUCCGAAGCGAAAGCGAGUCUGAAAAGGGCGUAUAGUCAGGGGAGGUAGACGCGAAACCUUGUGAUCUACCCAUGGGCAGGUUGAAGGUGCCGUAACAGGUACUGGAGGACCGAACCGAUAAACGUUGAAAAGUUUCCGGAUGACUUGUGGGUAGGGGUGAAAGGCUAAUCAAACUGGGAAAUAGCUCGUACUCCCCGAAAUGUUUUUAGGAACAGCCUGGCGGUUGAGUUAUAAAGAGGUAGAGCUACUAAUUGGGUGCGGGGGAGUCAAAUCCUACCAAAUCCAGAUAAACUCCGAAUGCUUUAUAAUAUACGCUGGAGUGAGGCUAUGGGUGCUAAGGUCCAUGGCCGAGAGGGAAAGAACCCAGACCAUCAGCUAAGGUCCCUAAAUUAUUGCUAAGUUGAACUAACGAGGUCCGAUUGCACAGACAGCUAGGAUGUUGGCUUGGAAGCAGCCAUUCAUUUAAAGAGUGCGUAACAGCUCACUAGUCGAGCGAUCGGGCAUGGAUAAUAAACGGGCAUCAAGCAGUAUACCGAAGCUAUGGAUUCACAGUAAUGUGACUGGUAGGGGAGCAUUCUAUU